CCUACGGGUGGCUGCAGUGAGGAAUAUUGGUCAAUGGGCUUACGCCUGAACCAGCCAAGUCGCGUGAGGGAAGACUGCCCUAUGGGUUGUAAACCUCUUUUGUCAGGGAGCAAUUGGCGCUACGUGUAGCGUUAUCGAGAGUACCUGAAGAAAAAGCAUCGGCUAACUCCGUGCCAGCAGCCGCGGUAAUACGGAGGAUGCGAGCGUUAUCCGGAUUUAUUGGGUUUAAAGGGUGCGUAGGCGGAAUGCCAAGUCAGCGGUACAAUCGCGGGGGUAAACCUUGGUCCGUCGUUGAAACUGGGGUUGUUGAGAGGGCGAGAAGUAUGGGGAAUGGGUGGUGUAGCGGUGAAAUGCAUAGA
RNAcentral lists this ribosomal RNA (359 nucleotides) under uncultured bacterium. RNAcentral's name for it is "partial 16S ribosomal RNA". It matches the Rfam family "Bacterial small subunit ribosomal RNA", at positions 338 to 694 of the family's 1533-position model. The record is from RNAcentral.